Molecule: ribosomal RNA, 406 nt
Filed under: uncultured bacterium
Lineage: Bacteria
Description: partial 16S ribosomal RNA
Rfam family: Bacterial small subunit ribosomal RNA
Source: RNAcentral
AUUGAACGCUGGCGGCAGGCCUAACACAUGCAAGUCGAACGAGUAGCGGACGGGCGAGUAAUGUCUGGGAAACUGCAUGAUGGAGGGGGCUAACUACUGGAAAAGGUAGCUAAUACCGCAUAACAUGCGAUGUGCGCAGAUGGGAUUAGGUAGUCGGUGGGGUAACGGCUCACCAAGGCGACGCUCCCUAGCUGGUCUGAGAGGAUGACCAGCCACACGGGAACUGAGACACGGUCCAGACUCCUACGGGAGGCAGCAGUGGGGAAUAUUGCACAAUGGGCGCAAGCCUGAUGCAGCCAUGCCGCGUGUAUGAAGAAGGCCUUCGGGUUGUAAAGUACUUUCAGCGAGGAGGCGUUACUCGCAGAAGAAGCACCGGCUAACUCCGUGCCAGCAGCCGCGGUAAUAC